Molecule: non-coding RNA, 21 nt
Filed under: Arabidopsis thaliana (thale cress)
Lineage: Eukaryota; Viridiplantae; Streptophyta; Magnoliopsida; Brassicales; Brassicaceae
Source: RNAcentral
ACUUUCUUUUCAGGCUUGACU